AAUAAACACCUUUUUUUUUUUUUUUAACUAUUCCAGGUAAGUACUUCCAUUUGAUAUACUUGACAUUUAUCAUGUUUUGUCUCCUCUGUACAACACCCUGGAAAUCCUCAGUUUCACAAAUUAUUGUCUCAGGUUACUACAGGCCAGGGCAAAGUAAGGAAGAAAAGUAGAAUGAGAGUCUCCUCUUGUCAACCCUUUAACACUGGAUGACUUUGCCAGUUGGAUCAGUCUCCAUUAUUUAACAGUGAGAAGAGGCAGCCUGAUGUUUGAUUCAGAGAGAUGAGGAUGAAUUAAGAUGUUGCAAUAUGACUUUCAAUGCAGAAUACAAGGAAAGAACAUAUCAGUCACACAGAAGAAGCAGUAGAGCUCCCAAGGACUGAUGAAAUGUGCUUUGCCCUGGUGGUGACUGCAGCUGCUACGUCAUGUGAAAAAAAUGAGAAGUUGCCCUAAAUUACCAUCUGCGACGUUUUAGCCACCUCCUGUAGUGGAAGCUGGUCAUGUGGGCCAACCCUCUGUGUGGUUUGAGACUGAGUGUCGUUUUGCUUUCUUGGGAUCUCAGCAUUUGCAUUUUAAAGCAAUUACCAAGUUAAGCACAAUCUCUGUGUUCAUGGGUCUGCCUGCAUGGGCAUGUAGGUAUCUUCAGCCUCGUAUGGCUUUGAGAAUUUCUGAAAGAGCCUUUGAUCUGGGUUGGGAUGUUUAGUAUUUCUGAGGGCACAUACUUGAGGGUACAAACUGUUUAGCAAAUGAGACAGAAUGGCAUUUUUACAAGGGUAAGUAGGAAUUGGGAAUGUACUUCACGUGUGCUGAGAGGCACUUGGAACAUCAGAGUGCUGUGUCCUAAUACUCUGAGUAUUUCAACCGCAUGAAUAGGCCACACUGAAUUUAACUUUCAGAAAAGUCAUUUGCGGGCAUACAUGCUUUUCCUGAAAUAGGUGUGUUUGUGCAC
This 946-nucleotide long non-coding RNA is filed under the name Manacus vitellinus (golden-collared manakin). RNAcentral describes it as "lncRNA (ENSMVIG00005004064.1)". The record is from RNAcentral. Lineage: Eukaryota; Metazoa; Chordata; Aves; Passeriformes; Pipridae.